GGCGAACGGGUGAGGAACACGUGAGAAAUCUGCCUUCAACACUGGGAUAACUCCGGGAAACCGGGGCUAAUACCGGAUAUGAAACUCAACGGCAUCGUUGGGUUUGGAAAGUUUUUCGGUUGAAGAUGAUCUCGCGGCCUAUCAGCUUGUUGGUGAGGUAAUGGCUCACCAAGGCGACGACGGGUAGCCGGCCUGAGAGGGCGACCGGCCACACUGGGACUGAGACACGGCCCAGACUCCUACGGGAGGCAGCAGUGGGGAAUAUUGGGCAAUGGAGGAAACUCUGACCCAGCGACGCCGCGUGCGGGAUGAAGGCCUUCGGGUUGUAAACCGCUUUCAGCAGGGAAGAAGCGAAAGUGACGGUACCUGCAGAAGAAGCACCGGCUAACUAUGUGCCAGCAGCCGCGGUAAUACAUAGGGUGCAAGCGUUGUCCGGAAUUAUUGGGCGUAAAGAGCUCGUAGGUGGUUCGUCACGUCGGAUGUGAAAAUCUGGGGCUCAACCCCAGACCUGCAUUCGAUACGGGCGAACUAGAGUUUGGUAGGGGAGACUGGAAUUCCUGGUGUAGCGGUGGAAUGCGCAGAUAUCAGGAGGAACACCAAUGGCGAAGGCAGGUCUCUGGG
RNAcentral lists this ribosomal RNA (621 nucleotides) under uncultured bacterium. RNAcentral describes it as "bacterial SSU rRNA". It matches the Rfam family "Bacterial small subunit ribosomal RNA", at positions 97 to 733 of the family's 1533-position model. The record is from RNAcentral.